Molecule: long non-coding RNA, 965 nt
Organism: Poecilia latipinna (sailfin molly)
Lineage: Eukaryota; Metazoa; Chordata; Actinopteri; Cyprinodontiformes; Poeciliidae
Exons: 5
Source: RefSeq, a predicted model, not a curated record
CAGACCUCCGCCAUGACUUACGUCAAAACAACCAACCAGCUCCUUUAAAGCUAGUCUAACCCAGACGACUGCAACCUAAUAUCGCUUUUAUUAAAUUAAUUUCACUUUAAAAAUUGUCACAGGGUGCUGCACAGACAAGGAUGUAAACCAAACUUAUUAUUUUAUUGUAUAACUUUUAAUAAGGGAAGAUAGCAACGGUGGAUAGCAGCUAAUGACUGUCGGUCCUCCAACCGUGUAACCGCGGAUUUACGGUGAACACCUUUUACAAGUUGUCUAACAGAAGCAGUUGAAAAAGUGACCAUGGGACGUCCCAGAUGUAACCAGAAGGAAGCACAGCACAGGGGCUCGAGUUGAAAGAGUGGGGGGAGACAGUGAUGAAGAGGAGGAAGAUGAGCGCAGCGCAGGAUGUAAGAGGAUUUGGAGCUAAUUAGGGGAGUAGGAGACGAGGGAAGAAACAUGAUAGAGGACGACAGAAGGAGGGGAGGGAAGGCGUACGCUGGAAAAAAGAGGAAGUGGGCAGCCUUCAUUCCUCUUCUCUUCCCUCCCCGGACUGAUUUUCUCCGUUUCACACCUCUGCUAACAGAGGGGACCGGCCAGAUGGAUGCAGCGUGGGAGUCCGAUUUGUUCAGAGCAUGCUGGCGGAUGAAGACGGGGGGCUGGGAAAAACAAUCGAGACGACAUUUACUCGAUGCACGAGGCAUCUUCUCUACAUGAUGGUACUUUCUCCCUAUGUUGCUCAGUAAUAAUUCAGUAAAUUCCUCGUUGGGAUCCAACAGAGUGAGAAUUCAGCAUGUUCACCUGCUAACUAAAAAGACCUCUGAUGCAAUAAUGUCUUUUAGCAACGGGGACAGUCAGAUGAUGAGGUCGGGGGCAAUUAAGAGUAAACCUCCUCACAGCAGAGGAGAGAUGACUCUCCAUAAUGACUGCUGACAUGUGGGUUUGGAAAACUCAUCUGGGAAAGCCAA